Molecule: ribosomal RNA, 814 nt
Filed under: Acinetobacter sp.
Lineage: Bacteria; Pseudomonadati; Pseudomonadota; Gammaproteobacteria; Moraxellales; Moraxellaceae
Description: bacterial SSU rRNA
Rfam family: Bacterial small subunit ribosomal RNA
Source: RNAcentral
GGGUGAGUAAUGCUUAGGAAUCUGCCUAUUAGUGGGGGACAACAUUCCGAAAGGGAUGCUAAUACCGCAUACGCCCUACGGGGGAAAGCAGGGGAUCUUCGGACCUUGCGCUAAUAGAUGAGCCUAAGUCGGAUUAGCUAGUUGGUGGGGUAAAGGCCUACCAAGGCGACGAUCUGUAGCGGGUCUGAGAGGAUGAUCCGCCACACUGGGACUGAGACACGGCCCAGACUCCUACGGGAGGCAGCAGUGGGGAAUAUUGGACAAUGGGGGGAACCCUGAUCCAGCCAUGCCGCGUGUGUGAAGAAGGCCUUUUGGUUGUAAAGCACUUUAAGCGAGGAGGAGGCGCUCUAGGCUAAUACCCUAGAUGCGUGGACGUUACUCGCAGAAUAAGCACCGGCUAACUCUGUGCCAGCAGCCGCGGUAAUACAGAGGGUGCGAGCGUUAAUCGGAUUUACUGGGCGUAAAGCGCGCGUAGGUGGCUAAUUAAGUCAAAUGUGAAAUCCCCGAGCUUAACUUGGGAAUUGCAUUCGAUACUGGUUAGCUAGAGUAUGGGAGAGGAUGGUAGAAUUCCAGGUGUAGCGGUGAAAUGCGUAGAGAUCUGGAGGAAUACCGAUGGCGAAGGCAGCCAUCUGGCCUAAUACUGACACUGAGGUGCGAAAGCAUGGGGAGCAAACAGGAUUAGAUACCCUGGUAGUCCAUGCCGUAAACGAUGUCUACUAGCCGUUGGGGCCUUUGAGGCUUUAGUGGCGCAGCUAACGCGAUAAGUAGACCGCCUGGGGAGUACGGUCGCAAGACUAAAACUCAAAUGAAUUGA